GGUUAUGGCUCAGCGGUAGAGCGCUCGCCUUGCACAUGCAAGGCCCUGGGUUCGAUCCUCAGCACCA
Molecule: transfer RNA, 67 nt
Filed under: Marmota monax (woodchuck)
Lineage: Eukaryota; Metazoa; Chordata; Mammalia; Rodentia; Sciuridae
Description: tRNA.Ala
Source: RNAcentral